This 253-nucleotide ribosomal RNA is filed under the name uncultured bacterium. Its description in RNAcentral is "partial 16S ribosomal RNA". It matches the Rfam family "Bacterial small subunit ribosomal RNA", at positions 524 to 776 of the family's 1533-position model. The record is from RNAcentral.
UACGUAGGGGGCAAGCGUUGUCCGGAAUCAUUGGGCGUAAAGCGCGUGUAGGCGGCCCGGUAAGUCCGCUGUGAAAGUCGGGGGCUCAACCCUCGAAUGCCGGUGGAUACUGUCGGGCUAGAGUGCGGGAGAGGCGAGUGGAAUUCCUGGUGUAGCGGUGAAAUGCGUAGAUAUCGAGAGGAACACCUGCGGCGAAGGCGGGUUGCUGGGCUGACACUGACGCUGAGGCGCGAAAGCGUGGGGAGCAAACAGG